GUCUAUGGCCAUACCACCAUCAACUUGCCUGAUCUCGUCUGAUCUCAGAAGCUAAGCAGGGUCAGGCCUAGUCAGUACUUGGAAGGGAGACAGAUCUUUAGAAGAGACUGCUCAGAGACAAGCAGUUUAAAGACA
RNAcentral lists this ribosomal RNA (135 nucleotides) under Castor canadensis (American beaver). Lineage: Eukaryota; Metazoa; Chordata; Mammalia; Rodentia; Castoridae. The record is from RNAcentral.